Molecule: ribosomal RNA, 637 nt
Filed under: uncultured bacterium
Lineage: Bacteria
Description: bacterial SSU rRNA
Rfam family: Bacterial small subunit ribosomal RNA
Source: RNAcentral
GCUCAACCGAGGAAGUGCUUCGAAAACUGGUAAACUUGAGUGCAGAAGAGGAAAGUGGAACUCCAUGUGUAGCGGUGGAAUGCGUAGAUAUAUGGAAGAACACCAGUGGCGAAGGCGGCUUUCUGGUCUGUAACUGACGCUGAGAUUCGAAAGCAUGGGUAGCAAACAGGAUUAGAUACCCUGGUAGUCCAUGCCGUAAACGAUGAGUGCUAAGUGUUGGAGGGUUUCCGCCCUUCAGUGCUGCAGCUAACGCAUUAAGCACUCCGCCUGGGGAGUACGAUCGCAAGAUUGAAACUCAAAGGAAUUGACGGGGGCCCGCACAAGCGGUGGAGCAUGUGGUUUAAUUCGAAGCAACGCGAAGAACCUUACCAGGUCUUGACAUACCAUGAAAAGCUUAGAGAUAAGUCUUUCCCUUCGGGGACAUGGAUACAGGUGGUGCAUGGUUGUCGUCAGCUCGUGUCGUGAGAUGUUGGGUUAAGUCCCGCAACGAGCGCAACCCUUAUUAUCAGUUGCCAGCAUUCAGUUGGGCACUCUGGUGAGACUGCCGGUGAUAAACCGGAGGAAGGUGGGGACGACGUCAAAUCAUCAUGCCCCUUAUGACCUGGGCUACACAUGUGCUACAAUGGUCGGUACAACG